This is a long non-coding RNA of Tympanuchus pallidicinctus (lesser prairie-chicken), 307 nucleotides long. RefSeq lists it as uncharacterized. The record is from RefSeq and is a predicted model, not a curated record. The transcript is spliced from 2 exons. NCBI's taxonomy places the organism in Eukaryota, Metazoa, Chordata, Aves, Galliformes, Phasianidae.
GCACACUGUCCUUCACGUUCUUAUACUUUUAUCGUCCACAAACUAUUUAACAGGCAUCUUAUAGCUGGAAAAAUACAUCUGGAAGCCAGUGACCAAGAACCCAAGCCUGCAACCAAGAAAGGUCUUGGAAACAGUGUCAAAAAGAAUAGUGGACAUAACAUGAAGCAGCUGAGAGCUCUGAGUCACUGUUUACAAAAUGCCCGAUUGAUUCAGCAGCUGCAAGGAAAAGUGAUAAAGCUUAACAAUCAAAGGAAAACAAACAACAACAAAAAAAAAAAAAAAAAAAAAAAAAAAACCACAAAAACAA